GUGCCAGCCGCCGCGGUAAUACGUAGGGGGCAAGCGUUGUCCGGAUUUACUGGGCGUAAAGAGCGUGUAGGCGGCCUCACAGGUCCGUUGUGAAAACUGAAGGCUUAACCUUCAGACGUCGACGGAAACCGUGUGGCUAGAGUCCGGAAGAGGAGAGUGGAAUUCCUGGUGUAGCGGUGAAAUGCGCAGAUAUCAGGAAGAACACCAAUGGCGAAGGCAGCUCUCUGGGACGGUACUGACGCUGAGACGCGAAAGCGUGGGGAGCGAACAGGAUUAGAAACCCCUGUAGUCC
Molecule: ribosomal RNA, 292 nt
Filed under: uncultured bacterium
Lineage: Bacteria
Description: partial 16S ribosomal RNA
Rfam family: Bacterial small subunit ribosomal RNA
Source: RNAcentral